UCAGGACGAACGCUGGCGGCGUGCCUAACACAUGCAAGUCGAGCGGGAAGCUUAGACUGCGGCUUCGGCCAAAGUCUAAAGUGGAGAGCGGCGGACGGGUGAGUAACGCGUGAGUAACCUGCCAUAUGGAGGGGGAUAACACAAAGAAAUUUGUGCUAAUACCGCAUAAUAUUAUAAAAGCGCAUGCUUUUAUGAUCAAAGAUUUAUCGCCAUUUGAUGGACUCGCGUCUGAUUAGCUGGUUGGUGAGAUAAAAGCUCACCAAGGCGACGAUCAGUAGCCGAACUGAGAGGUUGAUCGGCCACAUUGGGACUGAGACACGGCCCAGACUCCUACGGGAGGCAGCAGUGGGGAAUAUUGCGCAAAUGGGGGAAACCCUGACGCAGCAACGCCGCGUGAAGGAUGAAGGCUUUCGGGUCGUAAACUUUUGUCUUAGGGGACGAUAAUGACGGUACCCUAGGAGGAAGCCACGGCUAACUACGUGCCAGCAGCGGC
This 493-nucleotide ribosomal RNA is filed under the name uncultured bacterium. RNAcentral describes it as "bacterial SSU rRNA". It matches the Rfam family "Bacterial small subunit ribosomal RNA", at positions 24 to 518 of the family's 1533-position model. The record is from RNAcentral.